GUCGAGCUUAGUAACGUGGGCUUGUAACCCGGCAUUAAGGUGGUAGAAUAUUGGGCUUAACCAAAUGGUUGGGCUUGAUGGGCUUAUUUCUGGCCUGCCCUAUCCAAGCACAGUGUUGGAUAAUGAGGCCCAAAUGUAAGUAUGGGCUUCUUGAUUCCUAAAGUGGGGCGGAUCGACGAGGCUGGCUUCAUAGAGCAGUAAACAGCUCCCGCUCUGUGUAGUGGAAGGAUAACGAGUCGGUGUCUAUCAAGUCCAGUAAAAGCUUGACGGAUUGCUCCAAAUAAACCUCCACCUUU
This 296-nucleotide signal recognition particle RNA is filed under the name Solanum lycopersicum (tomato). It matches the Rfam family "Plant signal recognition particle RNA". The record is from RNAcentral. Lineage: Eukaryota; Viridiplantae; Streptophyta; Magnoliopsida; Solanales; Solanaceae.